GCCCGGCCCGACCCUAUUGCCCCGUUCUCUCCCAGCGAGCAGGAGCGCGCAGAGGCGGCUUGGCCCAGGCUGCACCCCGACUCCGGCCCUGGACUCGCAGGUGGGGGCGCCGCCGGUGGACGUUCCAGACCGACCGUGGCUGCCCGUGAGAGGCCCCGCGAACUGCCGUCCUGAGGCCGCCGGCCCCCUGGAGGAGCCGCAUGGGCCGGCUCGGCGAGGCUGGGUUGCUGCCCCUGUGGGACCCCUGCCCAGGGUACACGAGCAGCCCUCCAGGAGCGGGGCCCUCCAGGGGACGGGGAUACCCGCGCCCUGGACUCCAGGCGCCUGGGGCUCGCAGGCAGCUGUGGGCUGGGCUGGCACACACUCCUGGGCCCUGGUGGGUGGUUGGCUGGGUCCCCUCUUAGAGGGGGGCACUGCACCACCUCCUUGGCGGUGGGGUGUGAGGACUUAACGAGGGAGCGCUGCGUGGAGCCAGGUCAGACCGGAGGUCUGGAGAGUUUCUGCAGCCUCCGGGCUGGCGUGGCUGCGUCAGCGGAACUGGAAUAAAGGGGCUUUGGGUGA
Long non-coding RNA from Condylura cristata (star-nosed mole), 561 nucleotides. RefSeq lists it as uncharacterized. The record is from RefSeq and is a predicted model, not a curated record. NCBI's taxonomy places the organism in Eukaryota, Metazoa, Chordata, Mammalia, Eulipotyphla, Talpidae. The transcript is spliced from 2 exons.